Molecule: ribosomal RNA, 406 nt
Filed under: uncultured bacterium
Lineage: Bacteria
Description: partial 16S ribosomal RNA
Rfam family: Bacterial small subunit ribosomal RNA
Source: RNAcentral
AUUGAACGCUGGCGGCAGGCCUAACACAUGCAAGUCGAACGAGUGGCGGACGGGUGGGUAAGGUCUGGGAAACUGCCUGAUGGAGGGGGAUAACUAAUGGAAACGGUAGCUAAUACCGCAUACCAGCGGAUGGGCCCAGAUGGGUUUAGCUAGAUGGUGGGGUAACGGCUUACCUAGGCGACGAUCCCUAGCUGGUCUUAGAGGAUGACCAGCCACCCUGUAACUGAGACACGGUCCAGACUCCUACGGGAGGCAGCAGUGGGGAAUAUUGCACCAUGGGCGCAAGCCUGAUACAGCCAUUCCGCGUGUAUGAAGAAGGCCUUCGGGUUGUAAAGUACUUUCAGCGGGGAGGCGUUACCCGCAGAAGAAGCACCGGCUAACUCCGUGCCAGCAGCCGCGGUAAUAC